This 278-nucleotide long non-coding RNA is filed under the name Equus caballus (horse). Its description in RNAcentral is "lncRNA (ENSECAG00000046227.1)". The record is from RNAcentral. Lineage: Eukaryota; Metazoa; Chordata; Mammalia; Perissodactyla; Equidae.
CAAAGUAUGACAUGCAGUAUGUAGUGAAAGUGCUAUAGCGAAAAAUAAACCAAGGGAGGGAUGGUGUAAGAUGUACAAGGUUUGUGAGGUGAAGACAUUGCAGGUAGAGGAAACAUCAGGUGCAAAUAUCCUAAAAACCAGCAAGAAGAGCAGUGUUUGAAACAGAGAAAUACAGAAAGUGGAGGACAUAAUGUCAGAAAGUUGGCCAGAUCCUCUCAAGAUGAAAGAUGAAAGGUGUGCCUGAUUUCAAAAAUUAAAGAACUAUGCCUGAAAGCGGU